UUCGCACAGUGUCGUGGGGUUCAACACAGGCGGCAAUUAACACUGCUGAACGUGCAUAGGCUUCGUCGUGCCUUCACCACCCACGGCGUAUGUAGACUGUAGACGUAUGUAGGCUACUAAACAACUGUCGAGAGCCUGUAGACAUGAGUGAACACUUGGAGGUCAUCGCGUGCUUUGCACUUGCGUAGGAGAAAAACACUUCGGAAUGAUCGUGUUCGAGGACUAAGGGACAGCCUGAUCGUAUUCCUUAAAGCAUAAUAAUAUUAUAGUUUACAGGCGUUGCAUCUGUCUUAUUCUCGAGUUAGUAAGAGAAACCUGACUGAAAUUAUUAAGAGAUAGUGACCUUGGUUUUCAUUCUUUUCAACCCACCCUCAUCAGAGUGACCCUUAUUUAAAGGUCCGAAGGAUACCAGCCGAUGUAUUUUUUAUUUCAGUUGAGGAGAAAAGAUAUUUAGAAUACCGGAUUCCAGCAAGCAGGACACAGAGGGGCGUUUUUUCUUCAGCAUCUUGAGUGCUCGGGAGUGUUUUCCAUCAAACACCACCAGAUAUGAGCUAAACGUACAGAAACUCAUCAAAUAGUAUAAAAGAACGUAUAGGUAUGGGAUAGGAGCCAUCUCUUCCUUCCUACUGAGUAAGUUCAGUUGAGGACAGAAAGUAGGACACGAAACAAAACAACACAAUAAUUUCUCUCCUGGUAAACACCCCAGUGCCUUCCACUGACAACCACAGAGUAUUAAUUUCCAUGUUACUUUCGAGGUGAUAAAGAACUGCUGCAGGGAAACCAGCUUUGUUCGAGAACUGCACGACAGCUAGCCUGUGUCUUCCCAUACACUACACACACACACACACACACACACACACACACACACACACACACACACACACACAGAGAGAGAUAGAUAGCAGUCGGGCUGGCCCGCCGGUACCGUCCUGUCACAGUCUGUCACUAUAACUGCCAGUGCUAAGAAUAGAGUGAGAGAGUCAGCUGAUUUCACUUUUCUAACUCGGGCCUUCACCGACUUUCAUUUCCGCGUCGCCAAGGAGAAAUUGUGGAACAGUGCUGGACUUAAGUUUUGGCUUAGACGCACGUUGCACACAACAUGGAUGACUUGACGGUUGGGUUUGUUGCAAUGGCGAUGUUCUUCAUGGUCGUUGGCGUUAUGUCCACUUCCUACUGGCUGUACAAGAGCAGACUCUCACCGGACAGGGAACGAGGCAAGCGUUACUUGAGGAAUCUGGAGCAUUUUGAGAGGCUGCAUUCGAAACCCUUAACGAUUCACGUAGUAUAACUCUCGAAGGACAAGUUGAAGAACAAGUUCAACUUUGAAACAAACAUCAACAUAUUAUUAAGUCUCUAUUGCAACUUGGUUAAGUGAUUACGUUUACGGGAAUCGUUCCCUCUUCUGUGAAUCGUACACAAGAUAUUCAAGAUAUUGAGAACAUGAAUCAACUUGUGGACAAGCUAUAAGCGAGAUAUUUAAGAUAUUGUACAAGCCAACAUAGCCAUGUUGCAUCGAAGACACAGCAGGUGAUCAUUGGACAGGUUAAGAGCAUACAGAAGACUUCCCGGAAAGUGCUUAUCGCGGCAUCGCGGUGAAAUCAGGUGCUCGUCAAAGUACUGAACUCGAAGAAACAGACAUGUUUUCUGUUGGGCAACUUGUAUCGACUCUCUGGAUGGAAAGCGGGGAGGGGGGGGGGUCAACUUCUUUUAUGUCCUCUCUGAUUUAAUUUACCUUAAAAAAGAUUGAUAAAAUACAGGAAUAAAUGUAAACUUCCUGUUUUCAAAGACGCUCAAGCUUUGGAAGUCAACAAAUCUGGGCGCAAUGUUCUCGGUAACUUUACCUCAGACACCAGAUGUCUCUAAUCUCCCUCUGUCAUACAUAUUUCGACUUUUGUCCAAUAUAAAUGGGCAUUUUUCAUCAAAAGCGAAACAAAUGAACGAGCUUUAAGAUUAUAUCAAGAUUAUAUCAACAACUCCAUAAUAACCCCCCCCAACAAACAAACAAACAAACAAACAAACAAACAAACAAACAAACAAACAAACAAAAAACCAGACGAGUGCCCGAUUCAAGGGUGCCGUGACAUAAAGUAUUUAUAUGGGGAAGUUGAAGAGGGACUUCCUGGAUCAGAACGAACUUCUAAAACUCCAAAUGACUUCUUUCUACUAAGCCAGCGCCUUAUUGUGCUUUAUUAUUAUGCUGACAGAGCGAGGCGCUCGACGGUGCUAUUUCUCUUUUACGCUCUUCACAGCUAGACGUUCUCUAUAAUUAAUAUUAAUACUUCCAAAGUGUCCUAAAACAGUUGUGCAGUGGCGGUGAGGCUGCCAAGAAUUUUUCAUUCAAUUAUUUAUAUUUCUUAAAAGACAGUGGUGGCUUUCCAUUACAAAAUCAAUCAUAUUUCUUGUUUCUUAUUGUCAUGAAAAAGUACCCACUUGUACUUACAGAACUCUGUAUAGCUUCCAACUUCUUGAGCUAGAAAGCUGGCGUUGCAACUUCCUAAUACCAGAAUGGCUGGAAAAUAAUAAAAUUAAUGUGAUUGUCACUUGCUCGGUUUGU
This is a long non-coding RNA of Aplysia californica (California sea hare), 2554 nucleotides long. RefSeq lists it as uncharacterized. The record is from RefSeq and is a predicted model, not a curated record. NCBI's taxonomy places the organism in Eukaryota, Metazoa, Mollusca, Gastropoda, Aplysiida, Aplysiidae. The transcript has 2 exons.